AUGUACGCCAUCUGAAACUUUGAUGGGGAAGAUGUGUACAAGAAAAUUUUUGAUGCCACAAACAAUUUCAGCAAUGAUUUUUGCAUCAGAUCUGGAGGGAAUGGAUCUGUCUAUAGGGCUUAGUUACCAACAGGUGAAUUAUUAGCGGUGAAGAAGAUCCAUGUGGCAGAAGACGAUGAGCAAUUUAACCGUUAAAUACACUCAUUGGUGCACAUUCGAUAUCGGAACAUUGCAAAGUUAUUUUGUUACUGCUCUGCAAUUCAGGGAAGAUUCCUUGUAUAUGAUUACAUGGACAGAGGGAGCUUAGCAGCAUCUUUAAAUUGUCUGGCAACUGCAGUUGAAAUGGAUUGGACGAGGAGGUUAUGUAAGGGUCUAAGGGAUGUUGCUCAUGCUUUGUUAUACAUGCAUCACAGUUGCUUUGCACCGAUAGUCCACAGAGAUAUAAAGAGCAGCAAUGUUUUGCUUGAUCUGGAAUUUAAAGCUUGCAUCUCGGAUUUUGGUCUAGCAAAAAUACUAGAUGUGAAUGGGUCAAACUGCACAAAUCUUGUCGGGACAAAAGGAUAUCUUGCCCCAGAGCUUGCAUACACAACAAGGGUGACCGAGAAGUGUGAUGUUUAUAGCUUGGGAGUGCUGGUUCAAGAGUUGUUCAUGGGACAUCACCCAGGUGAUUUCCUUUCAUCCAUUGCCGACAAAACUACAUUACUUUGGAAUUUGCUGGACACACGGCUCCCACUCCCGGGAGCUGAGAUCGCAAGUGAGAUGUUUCAAGUGAUUGUCGUCGCUGUUUGGUGCGUAGAGCCUGAUCCAUCAUACCGUCCAACGAUGCAGCAAGUACUCAAGGUGUUCUCAACAGUUGAACGAUCACCUACUGAUAAUCUUGAUUAUCUCAACACUGGCAUUGUCAUCCCUGCCUGCUGGUCAUGA
This 924-nucleotide ribosomal RNA is filed under the name Triticum aestivum (bread wheat). RNAcentral describes it as "partial small subunit ribosomal RNA". Lineage: Eukaryota; Viridiplantae; Streptophyta; Magnoliopsida; Poales; Poaceae. The record is from RNAcentral.